RNAcentral lists this ribosomal RNA (1204 nucleotides) under Niphargus sp. ND139. RNAcentral describes it as "partial large subunit ribosomal RNA". It matches the Rfam family "Eukaryotic large subunit ribosomal RNA", at positions 1380 to 2095 of the family's 3401-position model. The record is from RNAcentral. Lineage: Eukaryota; Metazoa; Arthropoda; Malacostraca; Amphipoda; Niphargidae.
AGUAGGGUGGCGUGCCGGUGCGCGUUGAAGGCCAAGACGUGAGUCAGGCUGGAGCCGCCGGUAGUGCAGAUCUUGGUGGUAGUAGCAAGUACUCUGGUGAACCAACCUGGAGCUGUGAGGUCUGGAUUAGGGUUCCAUGUCAACAGUGAUUGAACAUGGGUGAGUCGAUCCUAAGCCAGCUGUGAAUGCAGUGACAUCCCGACAACGGGGACGCCGCGUACGUGCCCUGGCACUUACACCCCCAUACCAAAGCUCUCGUGUAUCUCUCUCUUUUUUUUUUCAAACAUGCUGUCUGGUACGGGAAAUGCGCACACACGCUGAUCGCUACGGAGCGUGAGUGUGUGCGCUUGUCUGAUUACGCUCAUAAGCGUUGUGGAUCUGUCUAUAAAAGUCGCGCACGCACGGUGAUCGCUAAGCAGUGUGAGUGCGUGUGCGCGCGUAACAAGAGAGAGAGAGGGAGAAAGAGAGUGGGUGAGCGUGAGUUGCCCCUGGCAUGAGUCCCCUGCGUCUGGUUCUAUGUCCGGCGAAAGGGAAUGGGGACUUUGUUCCUUGACCGGUCCCGGCACCCUCGAUUGGCUUUGCCAAUCAAUGGUCCAUGCAAAUGGAACCAGGCCACAGCCGUCGGCAGUCGCCCGAGGAAGAGUUUUCUUUUCUGCUUAACGCACGAGGUCAUCCCUGGAAACAGUUCGGCUGGCGAAAGGGUGCCCCGUUGCGGCAGAGCGCCACGACUGUCGUGCGCGUCUCGGUGUUCCUGCUGAUCCGUGAAAACGUGGUCGAGGGGAGUGCUCUUGUAUCAACGAAACGUCCGACAAGUUCGGGACGGACCGUACCCUAUAUCCGCAUCUGGUCUCCAAGGUUCGUAGCCUCUGCAGAGUCAGACACAUGUAGGUAAGGGAAGUCGGCAAACUCGAUCCGUAACUUCGGGAAAAGGAUUGGCUCUGAGGGCCGAGCUGGGCCGGGCCUUGCCUGCAAAGCAGUACCUAUAGUGACCGGAGUUUCAGGAGUGCGAGGGGCUCUAGUAGCUGCUUGUGCGUGUGUGUGCGUUCGCGCGUGCGCGCGCGUGUGGGCACGAACGAGUCCACCGCUCCGCUCCAACCACGAACGGCUGUGACGGCAAGGGCUCUGGGCGGGAGCGAUCAAUCCGUUUGCCUCCAGCUCGUCUGGGUGGCGGCGGUGCUCCGUCUGACCCAUACGGCUCCAGCGG